GGUGGAGCGAUUUGUCUGGUUUAUUCCGAUAACGAACGAGACUCUGGCCUACUAAAUAGAGACAGGAUUAUUACUGUCCUGGAUUCUUCUUAGAGGGACAAGUGGUUUUCAGCCACACGAAAUUGAGCAAUAACAGGUCUGUGAUGCCCUUAGAUGUCCGGGGCUGCACGCGCGCUACACUGAAGGAAUCAGCGUGCUAAAACCAUUGUCGAAAGGCAUUGGUAAACCCCUCAAAAUCCUACGUGAUUGGGAUCGGGAAUUGCAAUUAUUUCCCUUGAACGAGGAAUUCCCAGUAAGUGUGGGUCAUAAGCUCGCGUUGAAUACGUCCCUGCCCUUUGUAC
This 341-nucleotide ribosomal RNA is filed under the name Nematoda environmental sample. Its description in RNAcentral is "SSU rRNA". It matches the Rfam family "Eukaryotic small subunit ribosomal RNA", at positions 1300 to 1665 of the family's 1831-position model. Lineage: Eukaryota; Metazoa; Nematoda. The record is from RNAcentral.